UACGGAGGGUGCAAGCGUUAUCCGGAUUCACUGGGUUUAAAGGGUGCGUAGGUGGGCAGGUAAGUCAGUGGUGAAAUCUCUGGGCUUAACCCGGAAACUGCCGUUGAUACUAUCUGCCUUGAAUAUAGUGGAGGUGAGCGGAAUAUGUCAUGUAGCGGUGAAAUGCUUAGAUAUGACAUAGAACAUCGAUUGCGAAGGCAGCUCGCUACACUAUGAUUGACACUGAGGCACGAAAGCGUGGGGAUCAAACAGG
Molecule: ribosomal RNA, 253 nt
Filed under: uncultured bacterium
Lineage: Bacteria
Description: partial 16S ribosomal RNA
Rfam family: Bacterial small subunit ribosomal RNA
Source: RNAcentral